CCCAGUGACUCGGGAGGCUGAGGCAUGAGGAUUGAGAGUUCAAACCCAGACUCAGCAAUUUAGCAAGGCCCUAAACAACUCAGGAACACCCUGUCUCUAAUAAAACAUAAAAAAAGGGCUGGGGAUGUGGCUCAGUGGUUAAGUGCCCCUGGGUUCAAUCUCUGAUACCAAAAAAAAAAAAAAAAAUGGAAUCCGAGAGUCCAAUGCGGGAAGACUGC
RNAcentral lists this long non-coding RNA (218 nucleotides) under Marmota monax (woodchuck). Lineage: Eukaryota; Metazoa; Chordata; Mammalia; Rodentia; Sciuridae. The record is from RNAcentral.